CGGCUGCGCGGUCCGUGCCGCCUUCUAGGCUCAGGGACCGGCUUCCUCGCUCUGGGCUCCUGGCGAGUUUUCUCCCGCUCCACCAUGUGGAGCGGACGGCAGGGCCGCCUCAGGCCGGUGGGCUGCGUAGUGGAGGAGCUACGGUGCCGCCGGCGGGAGCGGGAGGCAGCACUGCGGAAGGCGCGGAGGGAGCAGCAGCUGGUCAGUAAGAGGCUGCUGAGAGACGACGUCCUGGAGGAAGUCGAAGGGGGAUGUGUGGCCAAGAUCCUCGGGGAAGCUGAGAUCCAACAGUUCCUCCGGUUAGCGCAACGAGGGACAGAGGAAAAGGAGAGAGAGAGGGCUCUGGUCAGCCUUCGUCGAGGCUUGCAGCACCCUGAGACGCAGCAGACCUUCAUCUGGCUGGAGGGCAGCAUUCGGACCUUGGUCGGGCUUCUGACCAGCAGCCAAGCCCUGUUGCAGCUAGAGGCCGCUCGGUGCCUUCAUGAGCUCUCUCAUUCUGAGCAGUCUGCGGUGGCUGAGGCCUGCCUGCCAGCCACUUCAUACCUUCUCACCUACCUCUCCGGUCACAGCUCAGACUUUAUAGAGCUCUGUCUGUAUACACUGGGUAACCUGAUUGUGGAGAGUGAGGCUGUGAGAAGGCAGCUCCUGCCACAGGGCAUUGUUCCAGCUUUGGCUGCCUGCAUCCAGUCUCCCCAUCUGACUGUGCUGGAAGCCCUUGGAUAUGCCUUGUCCCAGCUCCUUCAGGCUAAGGAAGCUCCAGAGAUGAUCAUCCCCUCUGUCUUGGGCUCCAUUCUCCCCCAGCAUAUCCUGCGACUGUUGCAACCUGGCCCAAAGCUGAACCUUGGGGUCGCUGUGGAGUUUGCCUGGUGCCUGCACUACAUCAUCUGCAGCCAGGUCAACAAUGCCCUGCUUAUCCACCAUGGGGGUCUGUCCACUCUGGGGCUGCUGCUGUUGGAUGUGGCUGCGGCUGUCCAGAGAACUGAGGAUGCAGGACUGGAGUUGCUGGCAUGCCCUGUGCUUCGGUGUCUAAGCAACUUGCUAACAGAAGCAGCAGUGGAGGUUGGGGGAGGGCCAAAUCAGCUUGACGAUGAGCGUGUUGUGGCGGCCUUAUUUAUCCUUCUGCAGUUCUUCCUUCAGAAACAGCCCAGCCUACUUCCUGAGGGCCUCUGGCUCCUUAACAACCUCACUGCGAAUAGUUCUAGUUUCUGUACCUCCUUGCUCUCCAUGGAUCUGAUCGAGCCCCUCUUGCAGUUGCUGCCAGUUUCUAAUGUGGUGAGCGUAUUGGUGCUCACAGUUCUGUGCAAUGUGGCUGAGAAGGGUCCUGCUUACUGCCAACAUCUGUGGCCAGGGCCCUUGCUCCCCUGCUUGAUGGGCAUGCUAGCCUCCUCUGAUACUGAAGUAGUAGGCCAGAGUUUAGAGCUGCUGCAACUGCUGUUCCUCUAUCGGCCAGAGGUGAGUUUUGGCCCUGGUACCCCUGUUCUGAGGCCUCUAGUCUCACCAUGGCCCCUUUCCUUCCCAUCCUAUCUAUAGUCACUUCUCUGGGCCUGGCAAGCCUAUGUGGACUCCAGGUCAGAAAUUCCUGCCUCUUGUUGGGAAGGCACUCUUCUGAAUAGAGGCUGUGGAGGCGUUUCUGCAGCAAUCAGGGCUGCAGGUCCUAGAAAAGCAUCAGGAGGCGGCACAGCUCCAGGAUCGUGUGCAUGCUCUCCAGAAGACAGCUCUUCACAGGUG
This is an RNA transcript of Mirounga angustirostris (Northern elephant seal), 1728 nucleotides long. It is a transcript of the gene named transmembrane and coiled-coil domains 6, with no coding region annotated. NCBI's taxonomy places the organism in Eukaryota, Metazoa, Chordata, Mammalia, Carnivora, Phocidae. The transcript is spliced from 12 exons. The record is from RefSeq and is a predicted model, not a curated record.